CGUCACCAGGGAAGGUCUCAAGUUCCUUCUGCUUUGCCAACUGGCGGGGCACUGAAAUGUCGGUGCCUACGAACACCAUGGUGCCCAGGAAGAGAAGGAGGAUUCUGCUUCUUUUCUCCUCUCCCCUGUCCACCACAUCAACCCACACCCAAUCCAGAGAGACGACAAUCAAAACCACAGUUGAUGGGAAGACUGAAAAUCCCAGACCUAUGCCUGUACCGGGGAGUCGAACAAAGAUUUAAAUACAGGAAAAAAUACAAGUCAGGCCUGAGACUGGAGACGGUGGGGUGUUUCUCCUACUGCUCCAAGAACCAGUGAGUGCUUUUUUUGUGUUUAAACAACAGCAAGGAGAAUUAAAAAAAAAAAAAAGAUUUUUUUAAAUGAUUCAUUAAAAUAGGUGUUUGUGGCCCAGUUGGCUGGGAGCAGCUGGGUAACAGAGAAGGCUCCCGCUCUGAGAAUGGCAGCCCAAGAUCAUCCUCUCUCACCACUCCGCUGAAAUGAUAGCCUCAAGCAAGUCAAAAAUAGCCUGAAUCCUUUACAGAAUUCUUUCCAGACCAAAAUAAAAAUGGCAGAAAGGACCCUCCAAAAAUACCCAGUACCGGAGAGCCAGGGUGUAUUUCAGCUCAGCUGAUUCAUUCUUACCCUGCUUGCAAUUCUCUGCCCUUCAAAGGAGAAGAGCAAGUCCUGGCAGAGGCCUUCAGCCAAGGGCCUCUCCCCCAGUAUUGGUUUUGUACUUGCUCGGUGUGCUGUUGACUUUUGCAGCUCUGUACGAUUAUGGGAAACAAGGAUAAUAUUUGCCCUCAGAGCCAGGAAAGAACAAAUAUUUUAUCAACAUCUAAAUCAUCUUUCAUCUAGCAGGGGAGGAGGCGCUGAAUGCCCAGCUGCACACACGUAAGCUGAUGAGGGGCAGGAAAGGGGCUGCUUGGGGAAUCUUCUACCUGUGUAAACUUGACCUAUCAAUACCGGGACCACAUCCACUGCAAAGGGCUUCCUCUGUGAAAUCUAAAAUAUGUCUGCCCUUCCAGGUACCUCCCACAUCCCCACCACUACCCCCUCAGCCCAGAAUAACUGCCAAAGUUCUACCAUGGUGCCUUUCUCAUUUCCAAAGGUACAAGUCAGGCCUGGGACUUGGGAAGGUGGGGUGUUUCUGUGGAUAUUUGGGGGGAAAUGAGGGCUUGCCCUGUUGUUAUGUUUGUUUCCAUUCAUGGAUCCUCCACCACUAGCCCAGAAAUGACAGUAGGUGGAAACACUAUCUUUCAUUACACAAAGUAUAAAUAGUGUAAUCUAUCAGCGCCGUCAAUCACAAUGAUUGAUUACAGGCUGUCAUAGAGAAGAGUGACAUAUUAGAAAAGUUUUGUUAACAAUGCCUAUUGCUAGUCAGCCUGCCACAGAGGUUGGUGAUUAAUGUGUUGUCAGCCUGUAAUCCCACACCCUUGGCUAAUGAGGCAGGAAUUUAUCAUCUUUACAGAGUGGCAGAUGUCAGGGAGAAAGGAAUCCAAGUGCUGGAAACAAUAUACUUUUUCUUACUAGGCCUGACAAGUCUGACAGGCCGAAAAAAACCACAAAGCAGCUUUGUAUAAGCACCAACUUAAAACGAGGAACUUUUCAUUUGGCAUCUUCGCUUUAAAUAGUGCUGCAAACCAGCCUCUAUCCCUUUGGAAGAAAGAAAAAAAAAGGACACAGAGAGAGGAGGGCACAAUGCUGAGCUCUGUGAACUCUGCACCUCAUUUUGACAGCCAGAGACCCCGAGAAAAGGUUACUGUGGCAAGCAGACAGCUUUCUUUGGAAGAGAAGCCCACAGGAACUUUUCACUUUUACCUGUGAACUUGUGACUGGGAGAAAAUGUGGCAUUCAAGGGGGCUGGGGAUAGCUGCUUCCCCUGCCACUGCCUCAGGCUGGCGUUUACCUGCAGACAUGGAUUGAUUUCUAGAAAUACUACCCUUAAUAUUGGGGAUGAGAAAUGGCGAGAGAGAGGGAGGGAGGGUGCUUCCCACUGGUCAAGAAAGAGCAACACAGAGGGGAGGGAGGGCCCUAGAAAAUGACUUUCACCAAAGCUCUGCUUAUUUUAAGCCACAUUCAGAUAGAGUCUCACGGUCUUUCUUCCCAACCAUCUCUUUGAUUUUUCAUAGUGGACAAGGACUAAAAUCUCUCCAAGCCUAAGAAAAUUCAAGCCCAGACAAGGAGAAGCCUCCAGAGGCCCUUUUAAGAGCUGCUUGUCCCUGGACACUCCCUCCUCUCAACUGCAGUUCCCAUCCUUCCCAUAAUUCUAACAACAGAGAAGACCUUGGGGGUGAAUCUGGCAUCUUCUGAGACACUAGAAGAUGACUAUGAAUAUUUCAACUUGAUCUAGGCUGUCCAUUCGGUUCCAAAGAACUCAAGCACUCCACACCACAGGAGACACUCAACUUUUCCUAAGAACUAUCAAAGAAACUGCCAACUAGAAGAUUCAAACUCUUUUUUUUUUCACUACCCAUGCAUUCUGCCUAUACUCCAGUUAGCAAGAGAAAGUCAAAGGGGAAAGGCUUCAGUUAAGGAGGUUAAGUCCUCUGGUUUGGAAACUUCUCCAUACCAGCACCCUGCCAAGAUGGUAAUGUGUUGCUUAUUCUCAUGUCAGUUUCCAAGGAUGGGGGCAAAUCUUAAGUGGCAACAUUCUGACAGAUGUAAUCCUUUUUCAAACACAUACCUCCGCUAAUGUAGACAAAUGCAAUGCAAAAAAAAUGGAAACAGCAACCAGAGGAGAAAAACUCUGCCUUCUGUCAACAGCACCCUCAGGCAAAAACACACAGCAAAGCAUUAAGUAAUUUAAUCUCCAAAAGGGAGCCUUCUGGCAUUAAGGCUACUCCGAAGUCCAAGGGGCCAGGCCACACCCUGUGCAAUGAGCAAUGGGCUUAGUGGCCAGGAACCCACAAGCUCAGAUGGAAAGCCAGGGAAAUACCCAGGGCCCAGUGGGUCUUCCCCAGAGCCAAGGCGCUGAAUGCUGCUGACCUGGGGGAUGCCUUCCCUGCAUGGGCCUCAGGUCAGAGGCUGGACAGUUGGAGGCUCUGGGUGGAAGUGCCCCUCCUUCCAUGGCUCUUUGGGAGAUCAGCACAAGAAGCAAGCUGAACCCUGAUGCUAAUCAGGCAGCUUUGAGUGAAGGGUGACGAGGGCCGGCGCCGACUCCACUCUGCCCGCCCAGGCCGCCAUCCUGGCCACAGAUCUCACUUAGCGAUAAGCAGGGGACUGCGCAGGCUCCCUACUACUCUUAUCUUGCAUGCACUGAUGUGCUCAGGAAGAGGGGACCAGGGAACCCUGCUCCCAGAGCCUUAUGGCAGAAGCCGGGGUGCUUUGCCGGGCUCCCUACACCCCCUACUCACCGCUGCAAGGAGACAGAGCCCUCCUUCGCCAGCUCCUCCAAGUCUGCCAACCCCCGCCUCCCUCGGCGUGCUCCCUCAUGCAGCUUUCAUUAACUCCCUCGGCCGGCAAUUUCCAUCCAUUUGACGACAGAUUAGAAGUGGAAUUCAAAAAGAAAGUCACUUGACCUCCCAUAAUGUGCUUCUCUUAAUUACAUUAAAGAUUUUCAAAUGUAGCCAUACUGGGUUUGACAGGUAAGGUUUUAAUCAACUUCAGGUGGCCACUUUUAAGUGCUCCCUGGACUGGAGCCGCAAAGUUGGCGUCACCCACGCUCCCAACGUGGUUCUAAUUUAAAUGGCUAAUUUUGACACGGAGAAAAGAUGAGAGGCCACGGGGCCCCACUGCUUCGGUGGGCGUGAUUUCUAAAUUAGGAUUAAUGCAGCAAGCUGAAGCAUGGUCGCAGGUUUAUUUUAUGGAGGUUGGAGCAAGUAAAUAACAUUUAUCCUUUGUAUACAUCUGCAUAUAAUUACAGCAAAGUUUUCUUGUGUGUUAAAUUAUACAAACUCUUCAAAAGUGGGUGCCUAAUGUCUUUUUCUAAAGCUGUGUUAUUAUUUUGGUCAAAAGUUGUUUACAUUAAACAAAUUCAAUUUACUAAACUUUGACAUGUUUGCACAACUGCAUAUAAUUUAUGCUGGAAGCCUGAAGCAUGACUUUCAAGUGAACUUUCUUGGUUCAAACUUGAUAGAUUAGGCAUUCAAUGUUGAGGGGUGGUGGCUUGCUCCAUCCAGGUUUUGUGGCCAAUUGAACUGAUUUGGUUUUCCUCUCUCAGAAUAUUUUAAUCAUUGGGUAAAUGUGUAUCGAGUAUCCACUGUGGUCCAAAUAUUAAUGCUGGGUCCUGAGGAUAUAAUGGUGUGCAAAAAAAGAUACAGUCCCAGGCUCAAGGAGUUCAAGGAUUAUUUAAGGAAACAGAGAAGCAAAAUAACUUGUGAAGACAGUCUUUAAAUCGCAAAGACAACAAGAAAGUAGCAUCCAUGCUGCUUUGAGGAUUCAUAAACUAGCAGGAUCUGUCUGAGCUUGGGGGAAUGCUGGCCCAGGGAAGUGAUAGCAUGAGCUGAGAACGGGAAAGACAAAGACAAAGUAAAAGGUUAACUUUGGUGGGAUGGAGAAUGUUACCUAGAAGGGACCAAAAAGGUAAGUGGGAGUCUGCAACAGGUACCCUUGUCUGUGAGGUAGCUGGAAAGGGGGUAGUAGGGCCAGGCUCCCCCCCAGGGCAUAGCUUAUUUUAGGAAUACUGUCUUUAUCCAAAUAGCAGGACUAAGUGCAAGGUUUGAAGCAGGGAGCUCAACUUUUUGUUUGUAUUUUGCAAAGAUCUAUUGAAGGGCAGAGUAGAUGGCAGGUCUGAUGGAGUUGGGCUAGUUCAGAGGCUUUAUAGUAAUUUAGAAUUUUUUUUUAUCUGCCCAUAGCUUUUAUUUUAUUUUUUAAUUGAUUUUUUAAAAAAAUAAAUGACAGCGGAAUACAUUACAAUUCUUAUUACACAUAUACGGCACAAUUUUUCAUAUCUCUGUUUAUAUAUAAAGUAUGUUGACGCCAAAUUGUGUCUUCAUACGAGUACUUUGGAUAAUGAUGUCCAUCACAUUCCACCAUCUUUGCUAACCCCCUGCCCCCUCUCUUUCCCUCCCACCCCUCUGCCCUAUCUAGAAACAAAACCCACCCUCCUGAAGUGGUUUGACCUAGGGUGAUGGUAGUACAGAAUGACAGUGGAUAGCUUUGAGGGAUGGUGAGGGGGUGAUGUUGAUGGGAUGUUGAGACAGACUGGUCGACUCCGGUUUCUGACUUGUAAAGCUAUAGGGACCUAGAACCAUCCACUGAGAGCUCAGAGUCUGUUAUGGUUUAGAUGUGAGGUGUGCCCCAGAAAGCUCACAUGUGAGACAAUGCAAGAAGAUCUGGAGGAGAAAUGAUUGGGUUAUAUCCUUAGCAUAAUCAGUGAGCUAAUCCCUGAUAACUGAAGUGGUAGGGUGUGACUGGAGGAGGUGGCAAUUGGGGCGUGGCUUUGGUGUAUAUAUUUGUAUCUGGCAAGUGGAGUCUCUGCUUCCUGAUCACAGUGUUGUGAGCUGCUUCCCUCUGCUCUGCCAUCUUGUCCCGCUAUGGUGUUCAGCCUCAUCUUGAGCCCUGAGAAAACUGUGAGCCCUCAAAUAAACUCUUCCUCCUCUAUAA
Molecule: long non-coding RNA, 5544 nt
Filed under: Marmota monax (woodchuck)
Lineage: Eukaryota; Metazoa; Chordata; Mammalia; Rodentia; Sciuridae
Source: RNAcentral